RNAcentral lists this ribosomal RNA (446 nucleotides) under uncultured bacterium. RNAcentral describes it as "partial 16S ribosomal RNA". It matches the Rfam family "Bacterial small subunit ribosomal RNA", at positions 338 to 795 of the family's 1533-position model. The record is from RNAcentral.
CCUACGGGUGGCAGCAGUAGGGAAUGUUCGGCAAUGGGGGGAACCCUGACCGAGCAACGCCGCGUGAAUGAAGAAGGUAUUCGUAAUGUAAAGUUCUUUUAACAGGGAAGAAAGAGAAAUUGGACGGUACCUGAAGAAUAAGCUCCGGCGAACGACGUGCCAGCAGCCGCGGGAAUACGUAGGGAGCGAGCGUUAUCCGGAAUGAUUGGGCGUAAAGGGUGCGUAGCUGGCCUAGGAAGGCUUUUGUAACAAUGCUGGGUUCAACCCAGUAGGGCAAAAGAUACUGCAAAGCUAGAGUAUGCCAGAGGCAAGUGGAACUCCAUGUGUAGCGGUCAAAUGCGUAGAUAUCUGUAAGAACACCAGUGGCGAAGGCGGCUUGCUGGGUCGAUACUGACAUUGAGGCACGAAAGCGUGGGGAGCAAACAGGAUUAGAUACCCGGGUAGUC